UCCUGGUUAGCUCAGUUGGUAGAGCGCUCCACUGGAAACGGAGAGGUCCCUUGUCUGAUACCAGGACCAGGAC
RNAcentral lists this transfer RNA (73 nucleotides) under Ixodes scapularis (black-legged tick). It matches the Rfam family "tRNA". From Rfam's summary of the family: Transfer RNA (tRNA) molecules are approximately 80 nucleotides in length. Their secondary structure includes four short double-helical elements and three loops (D, anti-codon, and T loops). Lineage: Eukaryota; Metazoa; Arthropoda; Arachnida; Ixodida; Ixodidae. The record is from Rfam by way of RNAcentral.